GAUGCUGAAAUCACUGCACCUUAAAAACAAAAAGAUUAAGCUGCACUGCGUUCCUAACCCUUUCUUUCCCUUGCUGUUUGUAAUGGAUGGAAGCUGUCACAUCUCUCUAAGCCUCGAACUCCUGGCCUGA
Molecule: long non-coding RNA, 130 nt
Filed under: Apteryx rowi (Okarito brown kiwi)
Lineage: Eukaryota; Metazoa; Chordata; Aves; Apterygiformes; Apterygidae
Description: lncRNA (ENSARWG00000007637.1)
Source: RNAcentral